UGGUGGGUAGUUUGACUGGGGCGGUCUCCUCCUAAAGAGUAACGGAGGAGCACGAAGGUUGGCUAAUCCUGGUCGGACAUCAGGAGGUUAGUGCAAUGGCAUAAGCCAGCUUGACUGCGAGCGUGACGGCGCGAGCAGGUGCGAAAGCAGGUCAUAGUGAUCCGGUGGUUCUGAAUGGAAGGGCCAUCGCUCAACGGAUAAAAGGUACUCCGGGGAUAACAGGCUGAUACCGCCCAAGAGUUCAUAUCGACGGCGGUGUUUGGCACCUCGAUGUCGGCUCAUCACAUCCUGGGGCUGAAGUAGGUCCCAAGGGUAUGGCUGUUCGCCAUUUAAAGUGGUACGCGAGCUGGGUUUAGAACGUCGUGAGACAGUUCGGUCCCUAUCUGCCGUGGGCGCUGGAGAACUGAGGGGGGCUGCUCCUAGUACGAGAGGACCGGAGUGGACGCAUCACUGGUGUUCGGGUUGUCAUGCCAAUGGCACUGCCCGGUAGCUAAAUGCGGAAGAGAUAAGUGCUGAAAGCAUCUAAGCACGAAACUUGCCCCGAGAUGAGUUCUCCCUGACUCCUUGAGAGUCCUGAAGGAACGUUGAAGACGACGACGUUGAUAGGCCGGGUGUGUAAGCGCAGCGAUGCGUUGAGCUAACCGGUACUAAUGAACCGUGAGG
This 663-nucleotide ribosomal RNA is filed under the name Escherichia coli. Its description in RNAcentral is "bacterial LSU rRNA". It matches the Rfam family "Bacterial large subunit ribosomal RNA", at positions 2259 to 2916 of the family's 2925-position model. The record is from RNAcentral. RNAcentral also lists the same sequence under 24 other names. Lineage: Bacteria; Pseudomonadati; Pseudomonadota; Gammaproteobacteria; Enterobacterales; Enterobacteriaceae.